RNAcentral lists this ribosomal RNA (301 nucleotides) under uncultured bacterium. Its description in RNAcentral is "partial 16S ribosomal RNA". It matches the Rfam family "Bacterial small subunit ribosomal RNA", at positions 509 to 807 of the family's 1533-position model. The record is from RNAcentral.
CAGCAGCCGCGGGAAUACGGAGGGUGCAAGCGUUAAUCGGAAUUACUGGGCGUAAAGCGCACGCAGGCGGUCUGACAAGUCAGAUGUGAAAUCCCCGGGCUUAACCUGGGAACUGCAUUUGAAACUGUCAGGCUGGAGUCUUGUAGAGGGGGGUAGAAUUCCAGGUGUAGCGGUGAAAUGCGUAGAGAUCUGGAGGAAUACCGGUGGCGAAGGCGGCCCCCUGGACAAAGACUGACGCUCAGGUGCGAAAGCGUGGGGAGCAAACAGGAUUAGAUACCCGCGUAGUCCCUGUCUCUUAUAC